CCUACGGGCGGCAGCAGUGAGGAAUAUUGGUCAAUGGGCGCGAGCCUGAACCAGCCAAGUAGCGUGAAGGAUGACUGCCCUACGGGUUGUAAACUUCUUUUAUAAAGGAAUAAAGUGAGGCACGUGUGCCUUUUGGAAUGUACUUGACGAAUAAGGAUCGGCUAACUCCGUGCCAGCAGCCGCGGUAAUACGGAGGAUACGAGCGUUAUCCGGAUUUAUUGGGUUUAAAGGGCGCGUAGGUGGGUUGUUAAGUCAGUUGUGAAAGUUUGCGGCUCAACCGUAAAAUUGCAAUUGAUACUGGCAGCCUUGAGUCCUGUUGAGGUAGGCGGAAUUCGUGGUGUAGCGGUGAAAUGCUUAGAGAUCACGAAGAACUCCGAUUGCGAAGGCAGCUUCCUAAACUGCCACUGACAUUGAUGCUCGAAAGUGUGGGUAUCAAACAGGAUUAGAUACCCCAGUAGUC
RNAcentral lists this ribosomal RNA (460 nucleotides) under uncultured bacterium. RNAcentral's name for it is "partial 16S ribosomal RNA". It matches the Rfam family "Bacterial small subunit ribosomal RNA", at positions 338 to 795 of the family's 1533-position model. The record is from RNAcentral.